GUCUUCGUGGUGUAGUGGUCAGCACGCUCGACGCGUAACCGAGAGGUCCGUGGUUCGAUUCCCGGCGAAGGCG
Non-coding RNA from Stegodyphus mimosarum, 73 nucleotides. Lineage: Eukaryota; Metazoa; Arthropoda; Arachnida; Araneae; Eresidae. The record is from Rfam.